UGGGGAAUAUUGGACAAUGGGCGAAAGCCUGAUCCAGCCAUGCCGCGUGUGUGAAGAAGGUCUUCGGAUUGUAAAGCACUUUAAGUUGGGAGGAAGGGCAGUAAGCUAAUACCUUGCUGUUUUGACGUUACCGACAGAGUAAGCACCGGCUAACUCUGUGCCAGCAGCCGCGGUAAUACAGAGGGUGCAAGCGUUAAUCGGAAUUACUGGGCGUAAAGCGCGCGUAGGUGGUUUGUUAAGUUGGAUGUGAAAGCCCCGGGCUCAACCUGGGAACUGCAUCCAAAACUGGCAGGCUAGAGUACGGUAGAGGGUGGUGGAAUUUCCUGUGUAGCGGUGAAAUGCGUAGAUAUAGGAAGGAACACCAGUGGCGAAGGCGACCACCUGGACUGAUACUGACACUGAGGUGCGAAAGCGUGGGGAGCAAACA
RNAcentral lists this ribosomal RNA (427 nucleotides) under uncultured bacterium. Its description in RNAcentral is "partial 16S ribosomal RNA". It matches the Rfam family "Bacterial small subunit ribosomal RNA", at positions 355 to 774 of the family's 1533-position model. The record is from RNAcentral.